Ribosomal RNA from Halanaerobium hydrogeniformans, 3031 nucleotides. It matches the Rfam family "Bacterial large subunit ribosomal RNA". The record is from Rfam. NCBI's taxonomy places the organism in Bacteria, Bacillati, Bacillota, Clostridia, Halanaerobiales, Halanaerobiaceae.
GAUUAAGCUAGAAAGAGCUUAUGGUGGAUGCCUAGGCAUUCAGAGUUGAAGAAGGACGUGACCGGCUGCGAAAAGCCGCGGGGAGCUGCUAAAUAAGCGUAGAUCCGUGGAUAUCCGAAUGGGGCAACCCACCAGUGUGGAGCACUGGUAUUAUGCAGUGAAAGAAGUAGCUGUGUAAGAACAAGCAGGAGAAUUGAAACAUCUUAGUACCCUGAGGAAAAGAAAUCAAAACGAGAUUCCCUUAGUAGCGGCGAGCGAAGGGGGAGAAGUCCAAACACUAAAAGUGUAAACCUGUAGGUGUUGCUUUUAGUGGGUGUGGGAUAUUGUUAAUUAGAGGCUACAGCCUUUAGAUGGCUUAAAUUUUUUGCUAAGUCGAAGGGACUGGAAAGUUCCGCCAGAGAGGGUAAUAGCCCUGUAGGCGAAAAGCAAAAGAAGUCAAACGAUAUCCAGAGUAUCACGGGACACGAGAAACCCUGUGAGAAUAUGGGAGGACCACCUUCCAAGACUAAAUACUCCUGAAUGACCGAUAGUGAACAAGUACCGUGAGGGAAAGGUGAAAAGAACCCCGGAAGGGGAGUGAAAUAGAAACUGAAACCGUAAGCUUACAACAAGUAGGAGGACUAUUAGAAAGUCUGACUGCGUACUUUUUGUAUCACGGACCGGCGAGUUACUGAUCGUAGCAAAAGGUUAAGCCAUAGAGGUGUAGCCAGAGCGAAAGCGAGUCUGAAUAGGGCGGAAGUUAUGAUGAGUAGACCCGAAACCGAGUGAUCUAUCCAUGACCAGGGUGAAGCGGGUGUAAGAGCCUGUGGAGGCCCGAACCCGGUGUUGUUGAAAAAACAUGGGAUGAGUUGUGGAUAGGGGUGAAAGGCCAAUCGAACUCGGAGAUAGCUGGUUCUCCUCGAAAUAGCUUUAGGGCUAGCCUCAGAGUAAAAGUUAAUUGGUUGUAGAGCACUGAUUGGACAAGGGGCCCAACAAGGUUACCAAAUCCAUUCAAACUCCGAAUGCCAAUUAAUGUUCUCUGGGAGUCAGACUGUGGGGGAUAAGCUUCAUAGUCAAGAGGGAAAGAGCCCAGACCACCAGAUAAGGUCCCAAAGUAUAUGCUAAGUGGAAAAGGAAGUGAGAUCGCACAGACAACCAGGAUGUUGGCUUAGAAGCAGCCAUUCAUUUAAAGAGUGCGUAAUAGCCCACUGGUUAAGCGGUUUCGCGCCGAAAAUGUAACGGGGCUAAAGCAUAUCACCGAAGCUGUGGUUUCUAGGAACUGUCCAUAAAAUUUAUCUAUUAAUGAUUUAGGAUGAAUUUAGAUAGGUUUUAUGGGCGGUUUCUAGAGAGGUAGAGGAGCAUUGUGUGCUGGGUGAAGCUAUACCGUAAGGAGUAGUGGACGGCACAGAAGAGAGAAUGCCGGUAUGAGUAACGAAAAAAGGAGUGAGAAUCUCCUUCGCCGAAAGUCUAAGGAUUCCUGAGGAAGGCUCGUCCUCUCAGGGUUAGUCGGGACCUAAGCUGAGGCCGAAAGGCGUAGGUGAUGGAAAAUCGGUAAAGAUUCCGAUACCACUGUAAAUUGAUUGAGUGAAGUGGGGACGCGGUAAAGAAGGUGGAGCAUGUGACUGGAAGAGCAUGUAUAAGCUAUUAAGCUGGGGUAAGGAGGCAAAUCCCUUUACCCAUCUAAACAGCUUAAAGUGAUGUGGAGCCAAAAGAGGCGAAGCCACCGGAUAAAUCGCCAAGAAAAACCACUAACGAGAUUUACAGUGCCCGUACCGCAAACCGACACAGGUAGACGGGAAGAGAAUUCUAAGGCGCGCGAGAGAACCCUUGUUAAGGAACUCGGCAAAAUGACCCCGUAACUUCGGGAGAAGGGGUACCCUUUAGGAAUACCUAGAGGGUCGAAGUGAAAAGAUCCAAGCGACUGUUUAUCAAAAACACAGGUCUCUGCUAAGUCGUAAGACGAAGUAUAGGGGCUGACGCCUGCCCGGUGCUGGAAGGUCAAGGAGAAGGCUUAGUACUUAUGUACGAAGGUCUGAACCUAAGCCCCAGUAAACGGCGGCCGUAACUAUAACGGUCCUAAGGUAGCGAAAUUCCUUGUCGGGUAAGUUCCGACCUGCACGAAUGGCGUAACGACUUGGAUGCUGUCUCAACAAGGGACUCGGUGAAAUUAAAUUGCCUGUGAAGAUGCAGGCUACCUGCGACAGGACGGAAAGACCCCGUGGAGCUUUACUGCAGCCUGAUAUUGGGUUUUGGUGUAGAAUGUACAGGAUAGGUGGGAGGCAUUGAAGCUGGUAUGCUAAUAUCAGUGGAGCCGUUGGUGGGAUACCACCCUUUCUACAGCGGAAUUCUAACUGGAGGCCAUAAACUGGUCACAGGACAUUGUCAGGCGGGCAGUUUGACUGGGGCGGUCGCCUCCCAAACAGUAACGGAGGCGCUCAAAGGUUCCCUCAGUGCGGAUGGAAAUCGCACGAAGAGUGUAAAGGCAGAAGGGAGCUUAACUGCGAGACAAACAAGUCGAGCAGGUACGAAAGUAGGACUUAGUGAUCCGGCGGUAUAGUGUGGAAUUGCCGUCGCUCAACGGAUAAAAGUUACCCCGGGGAUAACAGGCUUAUCUCCCCCAAGAGUUCACAUCGACGGGGAGGUUUGGCACCUCGAUGUCGGCUCAUCGCAUCCUGGAGCUGAAGCAGGUUCCAAGGGUUGGGCUGUUCGCCCAUUAAAGCGGUACGCGAGCUGGGUUCAGAACGUCGUGAGACAGUUCGGUCCCUAUCCGUCGCAGGCGGAGGAUACUUGAGGAGAGCUGUCCCCAGUACGAGAGGACCGGGAUGGACACACCGAUGGUGAAUCAGUUGUUCCACCAGGAGCAUAGCUGAGUAGCUAAGUGUGGCAAAGAUAAACGCUGAAAGCAUCUAAGCGUGAAACAAACUCCAAGAUAAGGUAUCCCACUCUGUUAAAGAGUUAAGAUCCCUUAAAGAUGAUAAGGUAGAUAGGCCGGAGGUGUAAAUGUAGUAAUACACUGAGCUGACCGGUACUAAUAGAUCGAGGGCUUAAUCAU